AAAAGACCGAAUAUCUGCAUGCGUAGGUAGGUUGGGGAGGUGGAUGGGUCUAACAACACAGGACUUUCACCCAGGAGACCAGGGUUCAUGUCCCCUAAACCCAACCUC
Long non-coding RNA from Etheostoma spectabile (orangethroat darter), 108 nucleotides. RefSeq lists it as uncharacterized. The transcript is spliced from 3 exons. NCBI's taxonomy places the organism in Eukaryota, Metazoa, Chordata, Actinopteri, Perciformes, Percidae. The record is from RefSeq and is a predicted model, not a curated record.